CGCACAUUGCGCCCGCCAGUAUUCUGGCGGGCAUGCCUGUCUGAGCGUCAUUACACCACUCAAGCCUGGCUUGGUAUUGGGCGAGGAGGUCCCCUCCCGCCCCAAUUUCGUCGGCCGGACCGUCCGUAUCUCAGCGUUGUGGUAUUAAAUUCGCUGGUGAGAAGGACGGUCUGCGCCGUUAAAAUGUUUAUUAAGGUUGACCUCGGAUCAGGUAGGGAUACCCGCUGAACUUAA
This 234-nucleotide unclassified non-coding RNA is filed under the name Capnodiales sp. RNAcentral describes it as "partial contains 5.8S ribosomal RNA, internal transcribed spacer 2, and large subunit ribosomal RNA". Lineage: Eukaryota; Fungi; Ascomycota; Dothideomycetes; Capnodiales. The record is from RNAcentral.